Molecule: ribosomal RNA, 1032 nt
Filed under: uncultured Bacteroidota bacterium
Lineage: Bacteria; Pseudomonadati; Bacteroidota
Description: bacterial SSU rRNA
Rfam family: Bacterial small subunit ribosomal RNA
Source: RNAcentral
GAAUUCACUAGUGAUUGUGGCAGGGGCGGCGGUAAUACGGAAGGUGCGAGCGUUGUCCGGAUUUAUUGGGUUUAAAGGGUGCGUAGGCGGCUGUUUAAGUCCGGGGUGAAAGCCCGUUGCUCAACAACGGAACGGCCCUGGAUACUGGAGAGCUGGAGUUUAGUGGAGGCUGGCGGAAUGGACGGAGUAGCGGUGAAAUGCAUAGAUACCGUCCAGAACCCCGAUUGCGCAGGCAGCUGGCCACGCUACAACUGACGCUGAGGCACGACAGCGUGGGGAGCGAACAGGAUUAGAUACCCUGGUAGUCCACGCCGUAAACGAUGGAUACUCGCUGCGGGCUAAAGCUUGUCCGUGGCUGAGCGAAAGCGUUAAGUAUCCCACCUGGGGAGUACGCCCGCAAGGGUGAAACUCAAAGGAAUUGACGGGGGCCCGCACAAGUGGUGGAGCAUGUGGUUUAAUUCGAUGAUACGCGAGGAACCUUACCGAGGCUAGAAUGCGCGCGACCGCCCCAGAGAUGGGGUUUGCCUUCGGGCCGCAAAGCAAGGUGCUGCAUGGCCGUCGUCAGCUCGUGCCGUGAGGUGUUGGGUUAAGUCCCGCAACGAGCGCAACCCCUAUGGUUAGUUGCCAGCACGUAAUGGUGGGGACUCUAGCCAGACUGCCUGCGCAAGCAGCGAGGAAGGCGGGGACGACGUCAGGUCAUCAUGGCCCUUACGCCUCGGGCGACACACGUGCUACAAUGGCCGGUACAGCGGGUAGCGACUGGGCGACCAGGAGCCAAUCUCUGUAAAGCCGGUCUCAGUUCGGAUUGGAGUCUGCAACUCGACUCCAUGAAGCUGGAAUCACUAGUAAUCGCGCAUCAGCCAUGGCGCGGUGAAUACGUUCCCGGGCCUUGUACACACCGCCCGUCAAGCCAUGAAAGUCGGGUAGACCUGAAGCCAGUGCUCGUCACAGAAGCUGGUUAGGGUAGAACCGGUAAUUAGGGCUAAGUCGUAACAAGGUAACCAAUCGAAUUCCCGCGGCCGCCAUGGCGGC